Molecule: ribosomal RNA, 726 nt
Filed under: uncultured bacterium
Lineage: Bacteria
Description: bacterial SSU rRNA
Rfam family: Bacterial small subunit ribosomal RNA
Source: RNAcentral
CAGGAUUAGAUACCCUGGUAGUCCACGCCGUAAACGAUGUCGACUUGGAGGCUGUUCCCCUGAGGAGUGGCUUCCGGAGCUAACGCGUUAAGUCGACCGCCUGGGGAGUACGGCCGCAAGGUUAAAACUCAAAUGAAUUGACGGGGGCCCGCACAAGCGGUGGAGCAUGUGGUUUAAUUCGAUACAACGCGAAGAACCUUACCUACUCUUGACAUCCAGAGAGCUUUCCAGAGAUGGAUUGGUGCCUUCGGGAACUCUGAGACAGGUGCUGCAUGGCUGUCGUCAGCUCGUGUUGUGAAAUGUUGGGUUAAGUCCCGCAACGAGCGCAACCCUUAUCCUUUGUUGCCAGCGAUUCGGUCGGGAACUCAAAGGAGACUGCCGGUGAUAAACCGGAGGAAGGUGGGGAUGACGUCAAGUCAUCAUGGCCCUUACGAGUAGGGCUACACACGUGCUACAAUGGCGCAUACAAAGAGAAGCGACCUCGCGAGAGCAAGCGGACCUCAUAAAGUGCGUCGUAGUCCGGAUCGGAGUCUGCAACUCGACUCCGUGAAGUCGGAAUCGCUAGUAAUCGUGGAUCAGAAUGCCACGGUGAAUACGUUCCCGGGCCUUGUACACACCGCCCGUCACACCAUGGGAGUGGGUUGCAAAAGAAGUAGGUAGCUUAACCUUCGGGAGGGCGCUUACCACUUUGUGAUUCAUGACUGGGGUGAAGUCGUAACAAGGUAG